CAAGUCUGGUGCCAGCAGCCGCGGUAAUUCCAGCUCUCAAAAUGCAUAGAACCAUUGCUGCGGUUAAAAAGCUCGUAGUUGAAUCUAUGCCUGAGGCUUGGUCCACUCUUUGAGUGCGUACUAGGUUCUUUGGCUUUUCGUCGGUUUUCUUGUCGUGGCCUUUAUUGGUGGCGGCAAGUGGCUGACAAUUUUACUUUGAACAAAUCAGAGUGCUUAAAACAGGCGUCUCGCUUGUAUGCUUUUGCAUAGAAUAAUGGAACACGACUUCGGUCUAGUUUUAUUGGUUUUAUAGAUCGUUGUAAUGAUUAAAAGAGACAAACGGGGGCAUUCGUAUUGUUGCGUGAGAGGUGAAAUUCUUGGACCGCAGCAAGACGACCUACAGCGAAAGCAUUUGCCAAGCUUGUCUUCAUUAAUCAAGAACGAAAGUCAGAGGAUCGAAGGUGAUCAGAUACCGCCCUAGUUCUGACCGUAAACGAUGCCAACUAGCGAUUCGCCGGCGGAUUAUUUGCCCUGGCGAGGAGCUUCCCGGAAACGAAAGUCUUCCGGUUCCGGGGGAAGUAUGGUUGCAAAGCUGAAACUUAAAGGAAUUGACGGAAGGGCACCACCAGGAGUGGAGCCUGCGGCUUAAUUUGACUCAACACGGGAAAACUCACCCGGCCCG
RNAcentral lists this ribosomal RNA (661 nucleotides) under Deladenus sp. 1 AY-2018. RNAcentral describes it as "SSU rRNA". It matches the Rfam family "Eukaryotic small subunit ribosomal RNA", at positions 556 to 1226 of the family's 1831-position model. The record is from RNAcentral. Lineage: Eukaryota; Metazoa; Nematoda; Chromadorea; Rhabditida; Sphaerulariidae.